RNAcentral lists this ribosomal RNA (271 nucleotides) under uncultured prokaryote. Its description in RNAcentral is "partial 16S ribosomal RNA". It matches the Rfam family "Bacterial small subunit ribosomal RNA", at positions 524 to 794 of the family's 1533-position model. The record is from RNAcentral.
CACGUAGGAGGCAAACGUUAUCCGGAUUUACUGGGCGUAAAGCGCGUGUAGGUGGUUCUGUAAGUAGGGCGUGAAAGCUCCCGGCUCAACUGGGAGAGGCCGUUCUAAACUGCAGAGCUAGAGGAUGGUAGAGGGAGGUGGAAUUCCAGGUGUAGCGGUGGAAUGCGCAGAUAUCUGGAGGAACACCAGUGGCGAAGGCGGCUUCCUGGUCUGUAACUGACACUGAGGCGCGAAAGCGUGGGGAGCAAACAGGAUUAGAUACCCGCGUAGU